GGGGGUUUCUGGGGGAGGGAAAUAUUGCCUUUGGGGCCGAAAUCGUCCCGUUGAAGGCCGGGGGGGGGGGGGUGCAGUGGAGGAGGCAGGACCCAAAGGAAGGGGGAGGGGGGAGCAGCAGGGAAUUGGGAGAAGAGCCCCUUCCCCCCCAAGCUCACACUGCCCCCCCCCGUUGCCUGAAAGACCCUCUUAGUGCAAAACAAAGAAGCCCCCACAGACGAGAAGAGCCGGGAAAUGAAGCCCUUCCUGCAAGAGACCUGAGUAGGAAAGGGACCUUCCCUCUGCUUUAGGCUCUCGGGAGGAGGGGGCUGGUGGGUCGAGGCUGGGGGGGGCAGGAGAUUUGGGGGGAGCCCACCCCAUUCAUCUGCCCAUUCCUCUGCUUCCUGGCAGCCUGGCCCUGUCUUCUCUCUCCCCCUCCUCUCUUUUGAACGGUCCUGGUCCUCUAAGUUGGGGGCACUUUUCUACUCCCCUGGGUGGGGCCGAGGGGCAGGGGUCUUCACGCCCCCUUGCAGGAGGCAGUUGACCCGGAUUUGCUGGCUCCCUCCAGGGUCAGGGGUGCUGGGUGCUGGAGGGAAGAAGAACGUGAAGCUCCCCCACCCCCAUCCAGCGUGCCUAGAAGACAGCAGUCUCUGGCCUGAUUCACGCAAGCAGAGACAGUGGGUACAGCCUUCCUCCUUGCAGUGCUGGCUUUCUAUCUGCGGGGAUUCUUCCAUGAUGCAAAGAAACCUUAUUAGUUCCCAAUGAGUUCAGAGCCUUCAUCUCCCUCCUUGAGCCAGACGGUCCAGUGUGAGCUCUUCCUUUGUGGCUCUGGACAUUGUGUGUCAUUUGACAGUAGAUCUGGAGUGAUCCAAUGGAAAAAACAGAGAGGAUCUGUGAGCAUCCAAGAUCCGGAGCUCUGCUUUUGCGUCAUGGGGGUGCCACAAAGCUGUGGCUGCCUGAUUUUAGACUGAGCACUGCUUCUUUUGAAGAAAAAAACAACACUUUUACUAAAGAACUGCGUUACAGAAACACAGCAGCAAAAGAGUGAACAGAAGGGCAGUUAACGUCUUGCUGAAGGCGAUUGGAGGGUCUGAAGUUGCCGGCUGCUUAUCUCCAAAGGACUCUGGACUUUUUAUAAAGCUGCACAUUCCAGGGCCCCAAAAAAACUCCUGAAAAGAGAGACCGGGACGACUCACGGAGGCAGGGAAAGAGCUAAAAGUCUGUUCUCCUUUACUGGACUGGCUGGACAGAAGUCAGAAAACAGGCUUGAAGUCAGUGUUGCAGGUGACCCAACAGAAGGGGAAAGGGAGAUGGAAGAGCAGGAGCCCAGAAAGACCAG
Molecule: long non-coding RNA, 1318 nt
Organism: Sphaerodactylus townsendi
Lineage: Eukaryota; Metazoa; Chordata; Lepidosauria; Squamata; Sphaerodactylidae
Exons: 3
Source: RefSeq, a predicted model, not a curated record